This 439-nucleotide ribosomal RNA is filed under the name uncultured bacterium. Its description in RNAcentral is "partial 16S ribosomal RNA". It matches the Rfam family "Bacterial small subunit ribosomal RNA", at positions 339 to 795 of the family's 1533-position model. The record is from RNAcentral.
CUACGGGGCGCUGCAGUGGGGAAUAUUGCACAAUGGAGGAAACUCUGAUGCAGCAACGCCGCGUGGAGGAUGACACUUUUCGGAGCGUAAACUCCUUUUAUAUAGGAAGAAGAUGACGGUACUAUAUGAAUAAGCGCCGGCUAACUCCGUGCCAGCAGCCGCGGUAAUACGGAGGGCGCAAGCGUUACUCGGAAUCACUGGGCGUAAAGAGCGUGUAGGCGGAUUAAAAAGUCAGAAGUGAAAUCCUAUAGCUUAACUAUAGAACUGCUUCUGAAACUCUUAAUCUAGAAUAUGGGAGAGGUAGAUGGAAUUUCUGGUGUAGGGGUAAAAUCCGUAGAGAUCAGAAGGCAUACCGAUUGCGAAGGCGAUCUACUAGAACAUUAUUGACGCUGAGACGCGGAAGCGUGGGGAGCAAACAGGAUUAGAUACCCCGGUAGUC